This 253-nucleotide ribosomal RNA is filed under the name uncultured bacterium. RNAcentral describes it as "partial 16S ribosomal RNA". It matches the Rfam family "Bacterial small subunit ribosomal RNA", at positions 524 to 776 of the family's 1533-position model. The record is from RNAcentral.
UACGUAGGGUGCGAGCGUUAAUCGGAAUUACUGGGCGUAAAGCGUGCGUAGUCGGUUAUUCAAGUCGGGUGUGAAAGCCCCGGGCUCAACCUGGGAAUUGCAUUCGAUACUGUGUAGCUAGAGUUCGGCAGAGGGAAGUGGAAUUUCCGGUGUAGCGGUGAAAUGCGUAGAUAUCGGAAGGAACAUCAGUGGCGAAAGCGACUUCCUGGACCAGAACUGACGAUCAGGCACGAAAGCGUGGGGAGCAAACAGG